GAUGAAGAACGUAGUGAAAUGCGAUAAGUAAUGUGAAUUGCAGAAUUCAGUGAAUCAUCGAAUCUUUGAACGCACAUUGCGCCCGUCAGUAUUCUGGCGGGCAUGCCUGUUCGAGCGUCAUUACGCCCCUCAAGUCCCCUGUGGACUUGGUGUUGGGGAUCGGCGAGGCUGGUUUUCCAGCACAGCCGUCCCUUAAAUUAAUUGGCGGUCUCGCCGUGGCCCUCCUCUGCGCAGUAGUAAAACACUCGCAACAGGAGCCCGGCGCGGUCCACUGCCGUAAAACCCCCCAAUUUUUUAUAGUUGACCUCGAAUCAGGUAGGACUACCCGCUGAACUUAAGCAUAUCAAUAAGCGGAGUA
This 358-nucleotide unclassified non-coding RNA is filed under the name soil metagenome. RNAcentral's name for it is "partial contains 5.8S ribosomal RNA, internal transcribed spacer 2, and large subunit ribosomal RNA". The stretch from base 1 to 120 matches the Rfam family "5.8S ribosomal RNA", at positions 35 to 154 of the family's 154-position model. The record is from RNAcentral.